UAGGGAAUUUUCGGCAAUGGGGGGAACCCUGACCGAGCAACGCCGCGUGAACGAAGAAGUAUUUCGGUAUGUAAAGUUCUUUUAUUGGAGAAGAAAGAGAAAUUUGACGGUAACCAAUGAAUAAGCUCCGGCUAACUACGUGCCAGCAGCCGCGGUAAUACGUAGGGAGCGAGCGUUAUCCGGAAUUAUUGGGCGUAAAGGGUGCGUAGAUGGUUGAUAUAAGUCUUUUGUAAAAAUGCUAGGCUCAACCUAGUAGGGCAAAAGAUACUGAUGAACUAGAGUACGGCAGAGGCAAGUGGAACU
RNAcentral lists this ribosomal RNA (303 nucleotides) under uncultured bacterium. Its description in RNAcentral is "bacterial SSU rRNA". It matches the Rfam family "Bacterial small subunit ribosomal RNA", at positions 355 to 668 of the family's 1533-position model. The record is from RNAcentral.